Xyrichtys novacula (pearly razorfish) is the source of this 7443-nucleotide non-coding RNA. The record is from the annotation of a GenBank genome assembly. Lineage: Eukaryota; Metazoa; Chordata; Actinopteri; Labriformes; Labridae.
CAUGUUGGGGGGUGGAAGAUUUUUCUGAGUCCAAUGAACCAACUAGAGACUCACCAACAAUGAGUCUCUAGGACGUUCCUGAAAAAAGUUGAUUUUUUCCCAUAGGAAUGCAUGGGAAAAAAUUUUUGAAAAUUUUUCAUCCUAGGGUUAGGGUUGCAGCUAGGGUUAGGGUUAGGGUUGGAGCUAGGGUUAGGGUUAAGGUUGGAGCUAGGGUUAGGGUUGCAGCUAGGGUUAGGGUUAGGGUUAGGGUUGGAGGUAGGGUUAGGGUUAGGGUUGCAGCUUCGAUUAGGGUUGGAGCCGGGGUUAGGGUUCUAGCUAGGGUUAGGGUUGGAGCUAGAGUUAUGGUUUGUGUUAGGGCUAGUGUUAGGUUUGGGGUUAGUGUUGGGGUUAGAGUUAGGGUGGGGUUAGGGGUAGGGCUAGUGUUAGGGUUAGGGUUUUGGCUAGGGUUUGGGUUGAUGUUAGUGUUAGGAGAUUUAGAAGUACUUUAAGUUUUUUUAAUGUUCCAUGCAUAGAGCUGACAGCCUGUUUUUGGCUUGCGCAUGUGAUGACGUUUCCAGCUUUGAUAGCUAAUUAGAGGUGAAGUAGGCAGGACUUUCCCGUACCAUCCCACAAAAAAAUAUAAUGCUUUUAGGAGUUGGAGGAAAUCCUGAGAGCAAUUCAGCUUUGAAUUUGUUCAAUGAUGGAAGGCGGAGCCAAGUUGUCCAUAGUAUAUACAGUCCAUGGUUUGCACUUAGAUAUCACUUCACCGAUAUGCAUUGAUACAACUACGUGGAGAUAGGUCUGGGUGUGCUGGUUGACAGCAAGGUGGAAGAAAACCUUCUAUAUUCACGUUUUGUAGUAGAAGAUCAGCCACAGAUAAAUAGCUUUACUUUGCCUACAGGGGGAUCCAAAAUCAGCACAAACACAAAGUUCAUUAAAGUAGCUUUAACAAAAAAAUGAAUGUCAUCACUGACAUCUGUUUAAAUGCAAUUGUAAAAAUAAUGAAAUGGUUAAGGUGAUUUUUUCUUAUUUAUGCACGUGUACCCACAUUGCUGUUUAUCCUCCCCCUGCUAUGAUACAUGUUCUGUGCAGCUCAAAGCGUGAUUAGAAAGUUACGCCACAUUUAGCACAAUCAAAACACACGCGCAGUCUUGCAUACACACACACACGCACACACACAAACUGACGCAGGCCAGACAUGUAAUACUACACAACCUAAUCAGCGACAUGUUUAUUCUCGAUGACUUUUUUCUGAUUACAGAGGCAUUGGUUGUGACUGUCUGCUGCAUGCUAAAAUAAUCAGAGAUUUUGUGAGCUGUAUAUUUAAAGCAAGGAUGAGAUUCACAAGGAAUCAUGACAAGGUAAAGGAAGUUAAACCUUGAAAUUCACAGAGGCUGUAACAAUAUUUCAUUCAAGAGUGUUUAAGGAUCCCAGUAUCCCCUUUAAUGUAAAAAUUUUUAUAAUCAGCAAUAAAAUGUGUUGAUUUUGGAUCUAUAUAUUUUGGCUUAAAAUUAUAUUUUCUUUGUCUUUUUUGGACAUGUGCUGUUAUUCAAGGCCAACAUGCAGAUCAGCAACCACACAUGGUCCACAGAUUCACCCACUGGCCUAAUGAUGUGUUUGACUCUCCAGUGACACUGUUUUUGCUGCAGCUCAUUAGCCGAUUGAAUGCAGCAACACCACAAAUCAAUUGCAAAACAACAAAAAAAUGUAAGUGGGAAGUCACCACUUUAAAACAGUAGCAAAAAUAAAUAAAGAAGUUGUACAAGCUUUGCUGUUUUGGCCCCCCCAGGUUUCCACAUUGUUUUCACAUUAAUUCUCCCUGUUUUACCCUUUUUUCCCCAUAUUUUCUGUAAUAUUUUAUCAAGUUAAACAAGCAAAGUGUCGGCUACUCACACAACUGUCAUCUUUUAAUAAAAUGAAAUAAUUUGUUUGAGAUAUUUCUGGACUGAAUAAUGUAUUUUAAUCUCUGUGGAGUAUGUGUGCAUGUGUGUAAUUGCAGUAAUUGGUGUGGAUUUUCAUCUAAUCCCGCUGUAAUCACCUGUCUUCCCUGGCUACCAUCAGCCAUUUCUUAUGUCUAUUGCCAGAACAUCAUGGGAUUACACAGAUAUCUGGUAAUACAGAUAUCUGGUAAUACAGAGUAUUAGUGCAGACACUGAGUAAUAACUGUACAUGCACCAUGGUGGUAAAGGAUGACAAAAACACUUAAAGGAAUGAAAAAAAGAUGACGUGGAUAUUAUUACUGCAGUGCUGCACUGACCCUCUGUAUCAGAGCUGUGAGAUUUGUAUGCAGGUUUGACAUCAAAUGUAUUCAAAAAGUAGAGGAGCCCUCAAGUUUCUACAAACCAAACAAGCCAAAAACUUGAUUUUUCAAAUUUUGAAAUUCUGUGAAGGCAAAUCGUUAGGGAAAUAAACAGUUCAUGGCUUUACAGAGGGUUUAUGAAUUUUUCAGAAGUCCUGUCAAGUUGUUGUAAAGGAUAAGGGAUUUUAUUCCAGAUGGUAAGCAGAAGCAGACAUCCUUCUUUUUGAGUUGAAUCCAAUCAAAUAUCAGUUUUUUUAUUAGCAGUAAGAAUUAACAACAUCUAAUAAGAAGGAUUUUACCUUUUCUUGUUUUCCUGUUCACACAUACUGUACAUAUGUAGACAUGCGCUGCACACCCUUCAGUUUCCCUGCAAUGACAUUUUCUCCUCUUUCUCAUUUCUGCUCUGUGGCCUUGAGACACACAUUCAAACAAUGAAAACACACACUCCAUAGCUGCCCUAUAUUCUAUAUGUAAGUGGGGCACCUACAUGUAGCCAGCUGUAUUAAACCAACCCUGGUCUGUGUGCAUGUGUGUAUGUAUCCUCUGCACAAAUACAAUCCAGUGCAGCAGGCAAAGCUUUGGCGUUAGCUCCAAGGGCAUUAUGGGAAAAAGAGGUAAGGCGAGGGCAACAGCACAGUUAUUUUAGACCCAUUUGUAACACAACUGUUACAACAAUAGCAGCAGCUUCUGCAGACUCAGGGUUAAAGUUGCAACAGCAGUGGUAGAAGAAUAAAUGUAUUCUUUAUUUAAAAAGCAAAGUAAUGGUAGAAGACUGAUCCUAUCGUAAAUAUGGCAUUGACAGUUUUCCCAAUUAUUUGGGGGGCAAUAUUGAUUAGGAACUUUGAUCACUAGCUUUUACAUGUUAGUAAAGGUGGUGAGAAACCAGAAAUAUUUCAUUUGACUUUCUAACAAACAGCUCUGGCCUCCAAACUGAAAAGUUGUUUUGUUAUUGAUGGUGUUAUUGGUGUCAUCAAAAUAUAAAGAUGCUUUUUUUGCCAUGAUAUUCAUGUAUUUCAUCAUGAUUGUCAUGUUUAAAAAUUGCUUCCUUGUGUGAAAUCAAAAUAAAAACUAAAAUAAACAAAAAAAUCUUAAUCAAUAUAGAGUAGUUUAGUUUAAAAACAAAAAAAGACUAUUAAUUCCCCACAGUAUAGCUUCAUGACACUUAUCAAAAUAGUGUAAUCCAAGUGAAUUUAGAGGAACUAGAAUUCCUCUCACCCAAAUGUUCCAAAACAUUGUAAUUAACUUAAAUGAAUGAAAAUUUUUAAUCUAUUGUGAAUGAAAAAAAAAAUCUUGUUCAGAUAUUUGAGCUUAUUGUUUCCUAAUGCUUUUCUAAUUUUAGAAUUGAUCCAAAGUGAAUGAAGAAAAGCUGCAAAGUCAACAGGUCAAUCAUGAUCAUUCACGAUAAUGAUGGUGAUAAUAGGGGUAGGAUGACAAUAUUACUCAUCACAGUUGGAGGGAAGUAAAUCUAAAAUUAACAUCAGGAUUGUAGCUGUAAAAAAUAAUGUUGAGAUUGAUAUUAAUAGUUAAAGCAGCUGGAGUCUGGCAGGUCCACACCAGCAGGCCAUCUGUAGAGACAAUCUAGAGGAGCCUGCGAGACAAGGAAGCUGAACAACCCCCAGAGGAUCCAUGACAAGCAAAGUCAAUUAGACAUGAAGGUUUAUAUGUAGACAGAGAGAGGUGAGAGAGGGAAGUACAGGAGCUCGGAGUGCCAGUUUUCCCUGCAGAUUAAGCCUAAAGUAGUGUAACUUAGAACUGACCCAAGCCUGAGUUAGUCACAACCAUAGGCUUUAUUUAUUAAAAGAGGCAUUUUACGCCCACUAAUGAAGAGCUUAUAGGACUUAUGAACCGUAAGGAUGAGCAAAAAAGUGAAUAGAAGUGGAGACCAAGUUCAGGUAAGCUGCACAGUCAGGUGGGCUUAGCACUAAUUGAUUCAUUGGUAACACUUUACAAUAACCAUAAUUUAUAAAUGGUAAAUAGAUAGUUUAUCAACGUUUAAUCAUUUAAAAACAGCAUAUAGACCACCUAUACAUAGAAAAUAGAUAGUUUAUUAAUGUAAGUUAAUAGUUACUUUACCAUUAACAAGCUAUGAAAUUAUGAUUAAUAAUUUUCAUUUAUUAUUAAUGGGCUAUUUAUUAUAGUGUUUAUAUAGGGUUUAAAUAUUGGUUGUAAAACAUCUAGAUUAAAAUGUGUGUCAGUAGCACUUUGUAAAUGGUUAAUAUUUGGUUCUUAAACCAUCUAUAAACAUUACUUAGAUGGUUACUGUAAAGUUGCAACUGAUGUUUGUAUUACUUUGUAAAUGAUUAAUAAGUGGUUUAUAAACCACCUAUACACAUUACUUAGAUGGCUAUUUUAAAGUUAAAAUUAAAAAUGUAUUAAUGGUCUAUAUGCUAUUUAUAAAUGAUGAUUAAACUUUAGUAAACUAUCUGCUUAACGUUUAGAAAUGGUCUAUUUACCAUUCAUAAGAUAUGGUUAUUGUUAAGUGUUACCGAUUCAUUAUUUAGAAAGUUUGAACUUAGGACUCCAAUUCCCUGUUUUCCCCGUAACUUACAACAUAUUUGUAGGUACAGUAAGUUUAUAAAGGCCAGCAGCAUGUCUGUCCUUGUCAUCACCUUUUUGUGGCUGCUGCCUGAGUAUCUCCACAACUGAAGAUGACACCAAAUGACCACUGGAGGUUUAAAUCACAUUAAUGCACUUUAGGGAUUUUUGAGUUUACAUAGUACAAUAUGACAAGACCGUGGAUCCAACAGCUGUGCUUACAAGAUGCACUACAGUCUGCUCACACACACUCUCUCUCACACACACACACAGAUACACAGAAAGCAAUCUAUCCAUAACCACGUCCCAGCACUGGAGGCAGUUAUACAAACCAGCUACAUCCACACCUGCAUGCUUACGCACACAGACACACACACACGCAGAGAGAAUUGUUUUGACAGCGUGAAGAUCCUGUGGGAGCUAACCAUCAUGCACCGACCCAAAAAUAAACCUCACUGUAGGGUAGGAGACAAAGGGCAUGGACACACACACACACACACACACACACACACACACACACACACACACACACACACACACACACACACACACACACACACACACACUCAAUCUUGCCUACCUGACCAACAAGGGACUAUCAGCCCAGACUGACCAAGAGUGGACCCCAAUUUCUGGCCAUUUUAAUAAAACAAAAAUAGAAUGGAACAUUUUCUUUUUCAGGUCUUUUAACAUAAUAAUACUUGAAAUCUGACUUAUUUUGUCAUUAUUAUUAUUUUCUUUUAAUUGUCAAGAGGGGACCUGGAUCCUUGAGUGAGACGAACACACACACACACAAUUAGAUAGACUUAGAUUCUUGCAUGUUAUAAAGGACAUUGGGCACUCUGUACUGUCUCAGCUGUUUCCAAAAAACUUUUGAAUUUAAAAGAAAAGAAGUCAACUCCAUCUUUAGCUCAAAGGCCAAACCGAGAGCAAAAACAGCAGCAUCUCAUUUAUUUAUUCUCUAUAGUCAUUAAAAAUGGAAAUAACCUCCAGUUCUAGUAAGUGAAGCCAGUGCAUUGAAGUUCAUUUCUUCUUUCUAACAGCCAGCAGGGGGCGGCUCCACUGAUUGGAUAAAGAAGUUUUAAUAGAGUUGAAAUUGGGUUACGCUGGUCAGGGUUAAUUUGACCCAGCAGUGGUCUCAGUGGUCAGCGGUGACUCAACAAAAGCCUUGUGCACUUUAUGUGGUUGGGUGUCUUCAAAAGACUGCAGAGGUGAGCAUGACCCAGUGGUGCAUUUAUUUUGUCACAGAGGCCUGUUUUUAUAAUUAUUAUUAUCAAAUCUCUGAUUCAUGGCCCUUAAGGUGGAUUUCAGGGACUGCCAGCAAACAACUGCUUGUGUCCACAUCCAGCAUAAUGGAAAGACAACAUAGUAGAUAUAGGGUCUUUUUUUACACAUUUUUAAUGAUUUGUUUUGGGGGUUAUUUUGAUUUUAUUUCGAAAAGGGCAAGAUGGUGAACAGAAGGAACUACAGAGACUGAAAGUAUAGGAGCAUAACUACCUUGGGUGCACAUGUAGACCGCUAGGUCAGAGGUGGUUUUUCACAAGUUGAAUGUAAGUCAUUUGUUUCUUAUGCCUAUAUUUUUCAUCCCUUCUAACAUCUGGUGGAAAAUUCAUAUUAUCAAGCUGCACAAAACUCCACUUUGUUCUCUUGAUAGCUGCUAAAUGUUCUUCUCUGCUAUAAAAGAUAAUAACAUGAGAGCAGCAAAUUUGAGUUCAUGACACAAUUUCACUAUUUCAAAUUGUUUUGUUAUUUAAAUGAACAUAUUUACAUUAUAGUUGCUUAAAUCACUACUGUAUCUUUAACUGCUGUUGAGUGAAUCUCAGGGGGAUGCAGCUGGUCUUUAAAUCCCAAAACUUCUUGUCAAUUACGGGCAGUCAAGGCUUUGUAGGUCAGUAGACAUCGUGCUUGGUGCAACUGUGGUACUAAUGAGGCUCAAGUCAAAACUUAAUGUAACAAUUAAUCGCUGAUCAUUGAGCUUAACUAGGAUUUAGCAUAUAGCUGAGAGCAGAGUAAAUAGCCACAGGGAUGAUGUACAUUCAUGCUGCAGCCACUCUAUUAUUUUGUUUAUUUGAGGAGGAUUAAAGGAUAAAAACCAGCAUAAGUGCACACUGCACUAUAAAAAGACAUGUGCAGGGGGAUGGAGGUGUGUGAGACUCUCACAAGCUGUCACACACUUGUACAUGCACUUGAAUGUAAACGCACAUAGACACACACACACACACACACACAAAUAAAUGCAGAUUCACGUAAAGGGCAUCCUACUCACACGGCCUUGUGAGGUUGCCUCCGUGAUCUUUUAAUUUGCAUGGAUCAACACUAAUCCUCCAAUCCUGCUCGUCUCUUUUCCACUCUGGUGACCCUGGUGGAAAAUAUCACAGUGGGUCAGGAAAUGAGGAGUAUUGCUUGUUUGGACUGGAGUCACGUGAGGCUUUCAUUUGUUAUUUUUCGCUCAGUCCUCAUUCUCUGUUUGUACAUUCCUUCAGCAGUUGUUUAUUGAAUCAUAUAUUCAGUAUGUUGUAUACAUUUCUGUAUGAGUGAAGUCAAACUCAUCAUUAAAGUAUGAAAAGUAUGAUGUUGACUCCAUUAUAAAUAUUUAAACCCAAAACUGAGGGGUUAAAGCUGAACCAUCC